Molecule: small RNA, 29 nt
Filed under: Bombyx mori (domestic silkworm)
Lineage: Eukaryota; Metazoa; Arthropoda; Insecta; Lepidoptera; Bombycidae
Description: ovarian small RNA-17090
Source: RNAcentral
GCUCGCAUAUUGCCCCGCAUGGGUGGAGC